UGGUGGAGUGAUUUGUCUGGUUAAUUCCGUUAACGAACGAGACCUUAACCGGCUAAAUAGUCACACGAUUCUCGAAUCGUGACUGACUUCUUGGAGGGACUGUUGGUGUUUAACCAAAGUCAGGAAGGCAAUAACA
Molecule: ribosomal RNA, 136 nt
Filed under: uncultured eukaryote
Lineage: Eukaryota
Description: partial 18S ribosomal RNA
Rfam family: Eukaryotic small subunit ribosomal RNA
Source: RNAcentral